AUACGGAGGGUGCAAACGUUGUUCGGAAUUACUGGGCGUAAAGCGCGCGUAGGCGGUUUGUUAAGUCAGAUGUGAUAGUCCACAGCUCAACUGUGGAAGUGCAUUUGAAACUGGCAGACUUGAGUACUGGAGGGGGUGAUGGAAUUCCCGGUGUAGAGGUGAAAUUCGUAGAUAUCGGGAGGAAUACCGGUGGCGAAGGCGAUCACCUGGCCAGAUACUGACGCUGAGGUGCGAAAGCGUGGGGAACAAACAGGAUUAGAAACCCCAGUAGUCC
Molecule: ribosomal RNA, 274 nt
Filed under: uncultured bacterium
Lineage: Bacteria
Description: partial 16S ribosomal RNA
Rfam family: Bacterial small subunit ribosomal RNA
Source: RNAcentral